GAUUUGUUCCUAACUGGUUGGUUAUUCCUUCAGACCCUUUGCAUCUCAGUAUCUACUUCCCAAACCCAUAGGAACAUGGGCAGCAGGUGAAGUCUCCAUCACUGGAGAAAAUUCCAUUGCCCCUUCAUCUAUCAAUAAACAUGCAGGCUGGCUCCAUUUCCAGGAUGUUGUGAAUGGUGCAGCAGUGACUAUGGAAGAUGUUUGAGGUCAUAUUAUAAGAAUUCUGAGAUGAUGAGCCUUAAUUGGAAGAGACACAAAAGGUCUGUGAAAAAUUUAAAUUCUAAUUGAAGGAUAAUUCAGAAGAAUUGUCAUUUAGUAUAAUUUAUUAGUAAAAAUGAGAAUGUACACUGAUUA
This is a long non-coding RNA of Mesocricetus auratus (golden hamster), 354 nucleotides long. RefSeq lists it as uncharacterized. The record is from RefSeq and is a predicted model, not a curated record. The transcript is spliced from 3 exons. Lineage: Eukaryota; Metazoa; Chordata; Mammalia; Rodentia; Cricetidae.